AAGAUAAAAGUCAGUCAACCAACCAAGGAUGUCUGCCAAUAAACCAAUCUAAGGACUUCAUGUUCACUUUAGACAAAGUCCUACGAAUGGGAAUAGUUAGGCAACCCAUCCUUGGCUACCCGACAUGACUCUUCAUCU
Molecule: non-coding RNA, 138 nt
Organism: Glycine max (soybean)
Lineage: Eukaryota; Viridiplantae; Streptophyta; Magnoliopsida; Fabales; Fabaceae
Source: Rfam